UACGUAGGCAGCAAACGUUGUUCGGAAUUACUGGGCGUAAAGAGUGUGUAGGCGGUUCUGUAAGUUUGGGGUGAAAUCUCCCGGCUUAACUGGGAGGGUGCGCCGAAAACUGCAAGGCUUGAGUGCUGGAGAGGAUAGCGGAAUUCCUGGUGUAGCGGUGAAAUGCGUAGAUAUCAGGAGGAACACCGGCGGUGUAGACGGCUAUCUGGACAGCAACUGACGCUGAGACACGAAAGCGUGGGGAGCAAACAGG
This 253-nucleotide ribosomal RNA is filed under the name uncultured bacterium. RNAcentral's name for it is "partial 16S ribosomal RNA". It matches the Rfam family "Bacterial small subunit ribosomal RNA", at positions 524 to 776 of the family's 1533-position model. The record is from RNAcentral.